GUCCCCGUAGUUCAGCUGGAUAGAACAAUCGCCUCCUAAGCGAUAGGUCAGGCGUUCGAAUCGCCUCGGGGACGCCA
This 77-nucleotide transfer RNA is filed under the name Gammaproteobacteria bacterium. RNAcentral's name for it is "tRNA-Arg". It matches the Rfam family "tRNA". From Rfam's summary of the family: Transfer RNA (tRNA) molecules are approximately 80 nucleotides in length. RNAcentral also lists the same sequence under 2 other names. The record is from RNAcentral. Lineage: Bacteria; Pseudomonadati; Pseudomonadota; Gammaproteobacteria.